Molecule: ribosomal RNA, 250 nt
Filed under: uncultured bacterium
Lineage: Bacteria
Description: partial 16S ribosomal RNA
Rfam family: Bacterial small subunit ribosomal RNA
Source: RNAcentral
GAGUAACGCGUGAGUAACCUGCCUUUCANAGGGGGAGUAACGUUCUGAAAAGAACGCUAAUACCGCAUAACAUCAAUUUAUCGCAUGAUAGGUUGAUCAAGGAGCAAUCCGCUGAAGAUGGACUCGCGUCCGAUUAGCCAGUUGGCGGGGUAACGGGCCCACCCAAAGCGACGAUCGGUAGCCGGACUGAGAGGUUGAACGGCCACAUUGGGACUGAGACACGGCCCAGACUCCUACGGGAGGCAGCAUG